Scylla paramamosain (green mud crab) is the source of this 1654-nucleotide long non-coding RNA. RefSeq lists it as uncharacterized. The record is from RefSeq and is a predicted model, not a curated record. Lineage: Eukaryota; Metazoa; Arthropoda; Malacostraca; Decapoda; Portunidae. The transcript has 12 exons.
CCCCACAGCCCCACUCCCCCAUGACAGUGCAGGCAGGGAAUGUCAUACAGGUUGUUCCAGGGAGGUGGAGGUGGGCCACACACACCUGGGUUACCUGUGGCUUGGCUGAUCUCCCUCCUCCAGCAGCAAAUCCCAAGAAUCAACGAGGACAUUGUGGACCCAGAGAUUGCAACAGCAGCAAGAGAGAGAGAGAAGCAAGAGAGGAGGGAGAGGAAGGAGAGGAGGAGGAGAGAGAGAGAGGGAAGCCAGGAGGGAGGUACGUCAGAGAGAGAGGGAGAGGAAGAGGUUGAUUCUAUUACAACAACAACUGCAACAACAACAACAGUUAGUCAGUGAGGAGGGGGAGGGGCCGUCCUCUGAUGCUGAGGAUGAGGUAUUGUUCAGGGAGGCCAUGUCCGAGGUGCCAGUGGUGGGGUCGCCAGUUCCAGAGUACGAAGUGGAGGAGGAAGAGGAAGAAGAGGACGAGGAGGAGGCACGGAUGAGGAAGAAGAAAAGAUUAUUACCUGUAGCCCUCCCUCCAGCUGAUAAGGGGAUAUUAAUGAGGCCUUCCUACAGUUACGAGACCCAGAUGGUGUUCCUCGGCCUUUAGAUCUGAACUUCUUCAAGUAUUCUGCCUCAGUGGCUCGUUCCCCAUCCUUCAUCAACAUGAGGGAGGUGUCUUGUCGCUUCAAGCUGCCCCCUGGCACUUACUGCAUUGUGCCAUCCACCUUUGAGCCUAAUGAAGAAGGAGAGUUCAUUUUGAGAGUCUUCUCUGAAAAAGCCAAUGAAAUGGAGAAAAGCGUACCAGCCAGCCUGCCCACCACACCCAAGUCAACAACCACUCUGUCGUCACUGCAGAAAAACACAAUCAACAUGACCCGUUCUCCCCUAAGACUCAAAGGGUUCUCAAUGCAACACUGCUGAUUUCAAGAUACUGACAAGAACUGACUGUCACCUUGCUAUGUCCAACAGGAAAAGCGUACCAGCCAGCCUGCCCACCACACCCAAGUCAACAACCACUCUGUCGUCACUGCAGAAAAACACAAUCAACAUGACCCGUUCUCCCCUAAGAUGACUAUGUUGGUAACAGAACUCUGGCAGGAAGAGGUGACGUUGCCUCGGACAUUCAGAGUGAGGGAGACCUUUGCAGAGGACACAGAAGAGGUGAACCAGGCCAACACAAGACAGAUGGGAUGCAAGAACACUGUUGACACAUCAAUACUUCAUACAAGGCAAUAAAGCGGCUACCACCACCAUGACCACCAUGACCACCACCACCACCAUGACCACCGCCACCACCACCACCACCACCACCACCACCACCACAGCACUCAGCGUGGCACAGAAGGAACAGAGCCAGGCGGAAAACAAGGACUAAGAUCCACUGCCACUUCCAAAUAAGGCUACCACCACCAUGACCACCAUGACCACCACCACCACCAUGACCACCGCCACCACCACCACCACCACCACCACCACCACAGCACUCAGCGUGGCACAGAAGGAACAGAGCCAGGCGGAAAACAAGGACUAAGAUCCACUGCCACUUCCAAAUAAGGUAAUACAUGAAUUUUCUUGUUCUUUAGCUGUUUACCGAGAGCGAGCAGUUGUCUUUUGUGUUUCUCCCCUUUGUGUCAUUCUCUCUCUUGUAUUUCUUGUUCUUUAUCUUUUUCUC